CCCUUAGAUGUUCUGGGCCGCACGCGCGCUACACUGAUGCACUCAACGAGUUUACGCCCUUGCCCGAUAGGGUUGGCUAAUCUUUUCAAAAUGCAUCGUGAUGGGGAUACACUAUUGCAAUUAUUAAUCUUCAACGAGGAAUUCCUAGUAAGCGCGAGUCAUCAGCACGUGCUGAUUACGUCCCUGCCCUUUGUACACACCGCCCGUCGCUCCUACCGAUUGAGUGCUCAGGUGAAUUAUUCGGACUGCAGCAAUGUUUGGAUCCCGAACGUUGCAGCGGAAAGUUUAGUGAACCUUAUCACUUAGAGGAAGGAGAAGUCGUAACA
Molecule: ribosomal RNA, 326 nt
Filed under: uncultured eukaryote
Lineage: Eukaryota
Description: partial 18S ribosomal RNA
Rfam family: Eukaryotic small subunit ribosomal RNA
Source: RNAcentral